UGCAGUUCGUCAAAUAUAUCUGAAAAUUCAGCAAGCAAAGGAAGUAGGUUUGGAUCUUCAAAUUCUAUUGGCUCUCCCUUAGUUUGCUGCUCAAGUUGUACCAAAAGGCCGCUGCAUGCUUUAUGCAAAACCUUCUUCAUUUGUUGUGUGCAAAUCGUCGUUAUGUCGCCCUCACGUUUCCCAUUCAGUAUCACCUAUUUCUCCUUACAGUAAAAUUUCAUAAUUAGUUGCAUAAAAUUCCAAGAAAUAUCACCUAAUAUCAUCAACCAUUUAAUU
This 276-nucleotide long non-coding RNA is filed under the name Musa acuminata (dwarf banana). RNAcentral describes it as "long non-coding RNA (MACU_LNC001265)". Lineage: Eukaryota; Viridiplantae; Streptophyta; Magnoliopsida; Zingiberales; Musaceae. The record is from RNAcentral.